Molecule: ribosomal RNA, 515 nt
Filed under: uncultured bacterium
Lineage: Bacteria
Description: partial 16S ribosomal RNA
Rfam family: Bacterial small subunit ribosomal RNA
Source: RNAcentral
UGGGGAAUAUUGCACAAUGGGCGCAAGCCUGAUGCAGCCAUGCCGCGUGUGUGAAGAAGGCCUUCGGGUUGUAAAGCACUUUCAGCGAGGAGGAAGGUGGUGAGCUUAAUACGCUCAUCAAUUGACGUUACUCGCAGAAGAAGCACCGGCUAACUCCGUGCCAGCAGCCGCGGUAAUACGGAGGGUGCAAGCGUUAAUCGGAAUUACUGGGCGUAAAGCGCACGCAGGCGGUUUGUUAAGUCAGAUGUGAAAUCCCCGGGCUCAACCUGGGAACUGCAUUUGAAACUGGCAAGCUAGAGUCUCGUAGAGGGGGGUAGAAUUCCAGGUGUAGCGGUGAAAUGCGUAGAGAUCUGGAGGAAUACCGGUGGCGAAGGCGGCCCCCCUGGACGAAGACUGACGCUCAGGUGCGAAAGCGUGGGGCAGCAAACAGGAUUAGAUACCCUGGUAGUCCAGCGCUGUAAACGAUGUCGAUUUGGAGGUUGUGCCCUUGAGGCGUGGCUUCCGGAGCUAACGCG